UUACGCUGAUGAAGCCCUCGAUUCUCUUAGCAUCUGCGAUCUAAACCUCUCCUCAAUUGACUACGCAGAUUUAAAUCUUCUCCUACCCAACUCUUUUCCUUGAACGACGGCACCUUCUCCUCCCUUGCUCUUCUACCGAUUGACGAUGCCUUCUCCUCCUUAGAUCUUCUCCUCGAUCGACAACGUCUUCUCCUCCUUAGCUCUUCUCCUCGAUCAACAACGCCUUCUCCUCCUUAGCUCUUCUCCUCGAUCGACGUCUUCUCCUCGAUCGACGACGUAAUGGGAGGUAUAAAAGAACAAAGCUCCGGAUCUGAUUCGAAAUAAUUAGGGCAUUGGCCUUCACUUCGAAUUGGGGAAAAUAGCUUCUUCAGGAAAAUCUAUCAGGCAUUCAGGCAGGCUAUCUAUGAUAGAGAAUCCAGAAAAUAGUAUGCUUUGAGUACAAUAAACAUUGGAGAAGAGUCUGAAAAGCUAAAUGGUUGGGUUGUUUAUUUUAAUUUGGAAAUCGAAUAUGGAAAUCCUCCACAGGAAGCGGUUAUGAAAGUGUUUCAAAGAGCAUUGCAGUAUUGUGAUUCGAAGAAGGUGCAGCUGGCUUUAUUGGGUGUGUAUGAACGGACUGAGCAGCACAAACUGGGUGAUGAGCUGCUAGAGAAAAUGGUGAAGAAGUUCAAGCAUUCCUGCAAGGUUUGGCUGUGGCGUAUACAGUGGGCAUUAAAGCAAAACCACGACAACAGUUAGUCUAUUGUAAACUGUGCUCACGUAUGUCUGCCCAGGCAUAAGCACAUAAAAUUUAUAACACAAACAACAAUUCUGGAGUUUAAAUGUGGGGUGGCUGAUAGGGGAAGAUCCAUGUUUGAAAAAAUGCUUAAGGAGUAUCCAAAACGAACCGACUUGUGGAGUGUUUAUCUUGAUCAGAUCUGAACUUGGCUUAGAUCUUGAGUCUGACAUAAGCUCGAUGUAUCAUAUUGAACAAGUUGUCAAGUAUAGAGUUGUCAGUUCUAGCCCUGCUUCAAGACGAAUUGUCCUCAGUUUUACAACAAGACCAAUGAGCCCUUCCCGUAAGGAAGCCAUCAGGGAUUAUGAUGAGGAUCUGCUUCAUGGAUCAGAUGUUUCUUCAUCAGAACAUCAAAGGAGGAAAGGAGGUUCUUUGAUAGGGAAUUAUAGGGAAAGUAAUGGGCAAAGGAGCAAUGUGGCACGUAGUUUCACCUUCAAGGAACUCGCAAUAGCCACCCAAAAAUUUUAAGGAAUCCAAUCUACUAGGAGAAGGUGGGUUCGGGAGCGUGUACAAAGGAGUCUUCGUCUCCCAAUUGGCAAACGAUCCAAGCAUAUCAUAUAGCUAGCUAGCUAGUUUGAUAUUUUGU
Ipomoea nil (Japanese morning glory) is the source of this 1358-nucleotide long non-coding RNA. RefSeq lists it as uncharacterized. Lineage: Eukaryota; Viridiplantae; Streptophyta; Magnoliopsida; Solanales; Convolvulaceae. The transcript is spliced from 8 exons. The record is from RefSeq and is a predicted model, not a curated record.